UGGGGAAUAUUGGACAAUGGGCGAAAGCCUGAUCCAGCCAUGCCGCGUGUGUGAAGAAGGUCUUCGGAUUGUAAAGCACUUUAAGUUGGGAGGAAGGGCAUUAACCUAAUACGUUAGUGUUUUGACGUUACCGACAGAAUAAGCACCGGCUAACUCUGUGCCAGCAGCCGCGGUAAUACAGAGGGUGCAAGCGUUAAUCGGAAUUACUGGGCGUAAAGCGCGCGUAGGUGGUUUGUUAAGUUGAAUGUGAAAUCCCCGGGCUCAACCUGGGAACUGCAUCCAAAACUGGCAAGCUAGAGUAUGGUAGAGGGUAGUGGAAUUUCCUGUGUAGCGGUGAAAUGCGUAGAUAUAGGAAGGAACACCAGUGGCGAAGGCGACUACCUGGACUGAUACUGACACUGAGGUGCGAAAGCGUGGGGAGCAAAC
RNAcentral lists this ribosomal RNA (426 nucleotides) under uncultured bacterium. RNAcentral describes it as "bacterial SSU rRNA". It matches the Rfam family "Bacterial small subunit ribosomal RNA", at positions 355 to 773 of the family's 1533-position model. The record is from RNAcentral.